GGCUUUGUAGUGUAGUGGUUAUCACAGCGGAUUCUGAUGAGACUCAUUCCCAUCAUCACGUGUUCCGCUAACCCAGGUUCGACUCCUGGCAAGGCCU
Molecule: non-coding RNA, 97 nt
Organism: Rhodofomes roseus
Lineage: Eukaryota; Fungi; Basidiomycota; Agaricomycetes; Polyporales; Fomitopsidaceae
Source: the annotation of a RefSeq genome assembly